RNAcentral lists this long non-coding RNA (1687 nucleotides) under Monodelphis domestica (gray short-tailed opossum). Its description in RNAcentral is "lncRNA (ENSMODG00000043080.1)". Lineage: Eukaryota; Metazoa; Chordata; Mammalia; Didelphimorphia; Didelphidae. The record is from RNAcentral.
GACCAUCUCGCCACCCCCCGCUCUCUGUUUUCUCUAUUUUUCCUAGAAGAGACUCUAUUCCUUAAAUAGAUAUAGAAAGGGUAGAGACAAAUCCCCUGAGACAGGGUUUCAGGUAUGAAAAAUCAAUUCAUAGACCUGGUUAACAAUUAUUAACUUAUUUUCUUGGUAAUCAAAGAUCCUGCUGCAGGGUCUUGGUUCAUCUUAAACGCACCUGCUGUUCCUACCACAGUUCAUCUCUUGAUUUUUCCCUGUACGCUGAAAUGCAGCUCUAAUUUGUGGACACUUGAUGAGGAGGUGAGCUAAUUGUUCCCUACCUUGUAUUACUUCAUUGGUGGUAGGAGGAAUUUAAUGCGGAGUGAGUGGGACCCAGUUAGGAGAUUUUAAUAGCCCUUGGUGAUCCAAGCAACAAGAUCCACCUUGGUCUGGUUAAACUUUCACCUCCAUGAAUCAAAUCUAUCUCCAUCUCCACAAAUCCAAAUCUCCAUCUCAACAGGGAGGACCAAGGGCAGAAGCUCAUUGCCCCUGGGAAACAGCAAGGUUAGGUUAGUUUUAUUUACAGAGAAAACAACUCAAAUUCCCAGCUGGGGUAGGGACCCAUCCCAAUUAUAGCAGAUGCAUAUGGAAGAAAUGCAAGAAUAUUUCUAGAACCUUCAGAGAAAUCUCUUUCUGAACUGGUUAAGGUGGGAGGUGGGGGAGAUUUAGACACAAAGAGCAAUGUUACAGAUUAAUAUUAGACAUCAAACAAUAUAGUAUUAAUAUUAAUUUUCCUCAGGGAUUUAUAGAGUAUCAAUUCCCUCAUUUAUUAGAUGAGAACACUGAGGUUCAGAGAGAUCCUGACUCCCAGUUCAGUGUACCACACAUCACACAGUAGCUGACACCCAUAUAAAUAUGUCUUUAAUUGAAAUAUGAAAAUUAGAUGUGAGCCACUCUACCUUAGAAUUCAGGAAAAAGGAAAUAAAAAUCUUUGUUUGGUCUAACAUGAAAGUUAGAUUUUUUAAAAAUCUUAUUUUAUUUUAUUUUCAGUUCCAAAUUCUCUUCCUCCCACUUGCCUCUCACUCAUCCACUGAGAAGGGAUCACUGAUGAUGGCUCAGAAAUCACAUCUACCAGUUCUUUUGGUUGUUCAUCUAGGCCAGGUGACUUGAAUUCACCAAGAACUUUCCUGCCUCCUAACUUAUCUUGGGUUGCUGAGUUUUACGGCAAAAAUUAUUUCUUUUGAUUCAAAGAAGCCUCUCUUUGAAACAACUGUCAUUCUCUAGCUGAUAAAACAGGAACUUCCAGGUGCAUAGCUAAUUUAAUUCAAAGGCCAUACAUGAGAUGCCAUUUCACUUCCCUGAACUUUGAAAAAAAACAGGGUCUGCUAAAAAAAAAAAAUUCUAUUUAAAUUUACAUUCCCUUCUAAAGGAAUUUCCUCUGACUAGGAUUGAGUACAGUGGCAGGCAACCAAAGGACACUCAGGAAAUGCUUAUUGAUGUGCUGAUUUGUUUAUGGCUCACACAAGACCCAUACAAAUAGUAUUUGAAUGCAAUUUUGAUGAUGAUGGGAGAGUGUCCUUGCUAAAUGUCAGUGUACUUCAUACUGAGCCACUCUGAUGUUUGAAAAUGAUCGUAUCCAUGUAAAAGCAUAGUAUUAAAUCUUCUCUAGUUCUUCUUAAAUAAAACACUGAUAUAGUCAAUGUGAUUAAUGGUA